CUACGGGGCGCACCAGUGAGGAAUAUUGCACAAUGGGGGGAACCCUGAUGCAGCAACGCCGCGUGGAGGAUGACGCAUUUCGGUGUGUAAACUCCUUUUAUAUGUCAAGAAAAUGACGGUAGCAUAUGAAUAAGCACCGGCUAACUCCGUGCCAGCAGCCGCGGUAAUACGGAGGGUGCAAGCGUUACUCGGAAUCACUGGGCGUAAAGGACGCGUAGGCGGGUUGGAAAGUCAGGUGUGAAAUCCUACAGCUUAACUGUAGAACCGCACUUGAAACUUCUAAUCUAGAGUAUGGGAGGGGGAGAUGGAAUUAGUGGUGUAGGGGUAAAAUCCGUAGAUAUCACUAGGAAUACCUAAAGCGGAGGCGAUCUCCUGGAACAUUACUGACGCUAAGGCGUGAAAGCGUGGGGAGCAAACAGGAUUAGAUACCCGCGUAGUC
Molecule: ribosomal RNA, 439 nt
Filed under: uncultured bacterium
Lineage: Bacteria
Description: partial 16S ribosomal RNA
Rfam family: Bacterial small subunit ribosomal RNA
Source: RNAcentral